UACGUAGGGCGCAAGCGUUGUCCGGAAUUAUUGGGCGUAAAGAGCUCGUAGGCGGUUUGUCGCGUCUGCUGUGAAAACCUAAGGCUCAACCUUGGGCUUGCAGUGGGUACGGGCAGACUAGAGUGCGGUAGGGGUGACUGGAAUUCCUGGUGUAGCGGUGGAAUGCGCAGAUAUCAGGAGGAACACCGAUGGCGAAGGCAGGUCACUGGGACGGUACUGACGCUGAGACGCGAAAGCGUGGGGAGCAAACAGG
This 253-nucleotide ribosomal RNA is filed under the name uncultured bacterium. RNAcentral describes it as "partial 16S ribosomal RNA". It matches the Rfam family "Bacterial small subunit ribosomal RNA", at positions 524 to 776 of the family's 1533-position model. The record is from RNAcentral.